GAUGAACGCUGGCGGCGUGCCUAAUACAUGCAAGUCGAGCGAACGGACGAGAAGCUUGCUUCUCUGAUGUUAGCGGCGGACGGGUGAGUAACACGUGGAUAACCUACCUAUAAGGCUGGGAUAACUUCGGGAAACCGUAGCUAAUACCGGAUAAUAUUUUGAACCGCAUGGUUCAAAAGUGAAAGACGGUCUUGCUGUCACUUAUAGAUGGAUCCGCGCUGCAUUAGCUAGUUGGUAAGGUAACGGCUUACCAAGGCAACGAUGCAUAGCCGACCUGAGAGGGUGAUCGGCCACACUGGAACUGAGACACGGUCCAGACUCCUACGGGAGGCAGCAGUAGGGAAUCUUCCGCAAUGGGCGAAAGCCUGACGGAGCAACGCCGCGUGAGUGAUGAAGGUCUUCGGAUCGUANAACUCUGUUAUUAGGGAAGAACAUAUGUGUAAGUAACUGUGCACAUCUUGACGGUACCUAAUCAGAAAGCCACGGCUAACUACGUGCCAGCAGCCGCGGUAAUACGUAGGUGGCAAGCGUUAUCCGGAAUUAUUGGGCGUAAAGCGCGCGUAGGCGGUUUUUUAAGUCUGAUGUGAAAGCCCACGGCUCAACCGUGGAGGGUCAUUGGAAACUGGAAAACUUGAGUGCAGAAGAGGAAAGUGGAAUUCCAUGUGUAGCGGUGAAAUGCGCAGAGAUAUGGAGGAACACCAGUGGCGAAGGCGACUUUCUGGUCUGUAACUGACGCUGAUGUGCGAAAGCGUGGGGAUCAAACAGGAUUAGAUACCCUGGUAGUCCACGCCGUAAACGAUGAGUGCUAAGUGUUAGGGGGUUUCCGCCCCUUAGUGCUGCAGCUAACGCAUUAAGCACUCCGCCUGGGGAGUACGACCGCAAGGUUGAAACUCAAAGGAAUUGACGGGGACCCGCACAAGCGGUGGAGCAUGUGGUUUAAUUCGAAGCAACGCGAAGAACCUUACCAAAUCUUGACAUCCUUUGACAACUCUAGAGAUAGAGCCUUCCCCUUCGGGGGACAAAGUGACAGGUGGUGCAUGGUUGUCGUCAGCUCGUGUCGUGAGAUGUUGGGUUAAGUCCCGCAACGAGCGCAACCCUUAAGCUUAGUUGCCAUCAUUAAGUUGGGCACUCUAAGUUGACUGCCGGUGACAAACCGGAGGAAGGUGGGGAUGACGUCAAAUCAUCAUGCCCCUUAUGAUUUGGGCUACACACGUGCUACAAUGGACAAUACAAAGGGCAGCGAAACCGCGAGGUCAAGCAAAUCCCAUAAAGUUGUUCUCAGUUCGGAUUGUAGUCUGCAACUCGACCACAUGAAGCUGGAAUCGCUAGUAAUCGUAGAUCAGCAUGCUACGGUGAAUACGUUCCCGGGUCU
This 1372-nucleotide ribosomal RNA is filed under the name uncultured bacterium. RNAcentral describes it as "bacterial SSU rRNA". It matches the Rfam family "Bacterial small subunit ribosomal RNA", at positions 28 to 1381 of the family's 1533-position model. The record is from RNAcentral.